This 689-nucleotide ribosomal RNA is filed under the name uncultured marine archaeon. RNAcentral's name for it is "bacterial SSU rRNA". It matches the Rfam family "Archaeal small subunit ribosomal RNA", at positions 63 to 758 of the family's 1478-position model. The record is from RNAcentral.
AGAAAUUAGAUUCUCGGCGUACCGCUCAGUAAAGUGGGUAACCUGCCCUAUGCUGGAUAAUAACCUCGGGAAACUGAGUAUAAUGAUCCAUAGUUCACUACGCCUGGAACGGUGAGUGGAUGAAAGCUCCGGCGGCAUAGGAUGGGCCUGCGGCGUAUCAGGUUGUAGGGGGUGUAACGUACCCUCUAGCCCUCUACGCGUACGGGUGUUGGGAGACAUAGCCCGGAGAUGGAUUCUGAGACACGAAUCCAGACCCUACGGGGUGCAGCAGGCGCGAAAACUUGGCAAUGCGAGAAAUCGUGACCAGGGAACUCCAAGUGCAUCGGGUAAGACCGGUGCUUUUCUUGACUCUAAAUAGGUCUUGGAAUAAGGGGUGGGUAAGGACGGUGCCAGCCGCCGCGGUAAUACCGGCGCCUCAAGUGGUAGUCGCUUUUAUUGGGCCUAAAACGUCCGUAGCCGGUCUGAUACAUUCGUGGGUAAAUCAACCAGCUCAACUGAUUGAAUUCUGCGAGCACGGCCAGACUUGGGACCGGGAGAGGUGUGGGGUACGCUCAGGGUAGGGGUAAAAUCCUGUCAUCCUGAGCGGACCACCUGUUGCGAAGGCGCCACACUAGAACGGAUCCGACGGUCAGGGACGAAGCCUAGGGGCACGAACCGGAUUAGAUACCCGGGUAGUCCUAGGUGUAAAC